UACGUAGGGUGCGAGCGUUGUCCGGAAUUAUUGGGCGUAAAGAGCUCGUAGGCGGUGUGUCACGUCGGCCGUGAAAACCUGGGGCUUAACUCUGGGCGUGCGGUCGACACGGGCAUCACUAGAGUUCGGCAGGGGAGACUGGAAUUCCUGGUGUAGUGGUGAAAUGCGCAGAUAUCAGGAGGAACACCGGUGGCGAAGGCGGGUCUCUGGGCCGAUACUGACGCUGAGGAGCGAAAGCAUGGGUAGCGAACAGG
This 254-nucleotide ribosomal RNA is filed under the name uncultured bacterium. RNAcentral describes it as "partial 16S ribosomal RNA". It matches the Rfam family "Bacterial small subunit ribosomal RNA", at positions 524 to 776 of the family's 1533-position model. The record is from RNAcentral.